RNAcentral lists this ribosomal RNA (775 nucleotides) under uncultured Enterobacteriaceae bacterium. Its description in RNAcentral is "bacterial SSU rRNA". It matches the Rfam family "Bacterial small subunit ribosomal RNA", at positions 723 to 1502 of the family's 1533-position model. The record is from RNAcentral. Lineage: Bacteria; Pseudomonadati; Pseudomonadota; Gammaproteobacteria; Enterobacterales; Enterobacteriaceae.
GGCCUUCUGGACAGUACUGACGCUGAGAUGCGAAAGCGUGGGGAGCAAACAGGAUUAGAUACCUGGUAGUCACGCUGUAAACGAUGUCGAUUUGGAGUUUGUUGCCUAGAGUGAUGGGCUCCGAAGCUAACGCGAUAAAUCGACCGCUGGGGAGUACGGCCGCAAGGUUAAAACUCAAAUGAAUUGACGGGGGCCCGCACAAGCGGUGGAGCAUGUGGUUUAAUUCGAUGCAACGCGAAGAACCUUACCUGGUCUUGACACCCAUAGAAUUCUGCAGAUAUGUGGGAGUGCCUUCGGGAACUAUGAGACAGGUGCUGCAUGGCUGUCGUCAGCUCGUGUUGUGAAAUGUUGGGUUAAGUCCCGCAACGGGCGCAACCCUUAUUCUUUGUUGCCAGCGAUUUGGUCGGGAACUCAAAGGAGACUGCCGUUGAUAAAGCGGAGGAAGGUGGGGGCGACGUCAAGUCAUCAUGGCCCUUACGACCAGGGCUACACACGUGCUACAAUGGCGUAUACAAAGGGAAGCGAAGGUGCGAGCUGGAGCGGAUCUCAUAAAGUACGUCUAAGUUCGGAUUGGAGUCUGCAACUCGACUCCAUGAAGUCGGAAUCGCUAGUAAUCGUAGAUCAGAAUGCUACGGUGAAUACGUUCCCGGGCCUUGUACACACCGCCCGUCACACCAUGGGAGUGGGUUGCACCAGAAGUAGAUAGCUUAACCGCGAGGGGGGCGUUUGCCACGGUGUGAUUCAUGACUGGGGUGAAGUCGUAACAAGGUAACCA